Molecule: long non-coding RNA, 5458 nt
Organism: Brassica rapa (field mustard)
Lineage: Eukaryota; Viridiplantae; Streptophyta; Magnoliopsida; Brassicales; Brassicaceae
Source: RefSeq, a predicted model, not a curated record
ACUGAACGCCUCUAAGUCAGAAUCUGGGCUAGAAGCGACGCAUGCACCCGCCGCCCGAUUGCCGACCCUUAGUAGGAGCUUCGGCUCCCAAAGGCACGUGUCGUUGGCUAAGUCCGUUCGGCGGAAGCGCCAUUCAGACCGCCUUUGAUGUGCUGCAGUCCAUGGAUCAUUACAUGGAACCAGCUCAGCAUGGAGUUCACGACGUUCUGAAAAUUUCAACCGAGGUUCAUGUUUUUCACCGUGCCAGACUUGACUUGGAUCAUGCUAGACUUGAGAAAGAUCAUGCCAGACUUGAGAAAGAUCAUGCCAGACUUGAGAAAGAUCAUCUCAGACUUGAGAAAGAUCAUGCCAGACUUGACUUGGAUCAUGAGGUUUCAAAAAAUGAUCAAGACUUCUCUUUUUUGCUCGAUUGGCCCAUACUGCACGUACCGGCGACCGUACUGAUGGACUGAUCGACCAUUUUGAUCAGUUCAUGCACUUUGAUCAGCCAAAUCUUACUAAGGCAAGGAUCCUUCGCCUUUCUGAAGACAUAGGACGCACUUGGUCCAGUCUGGUUCAUGAUCCGGACAUGGUGGCUCAUACGGACAGUCCCACAUCCGUCCUUCUCUUUACCGCAGUCCAUGCUUCAGGAUACAAUGAACCCGGACAGAAGCCGAUCAGUCACAUUUAAUAAUGAGAAAAUUACUAGAAUGUUACACAUUUUAUGGUUUAUUACUAGAAUGUUGUAUAUCUUUGUUUUAUUACUAGAAUGUUUUCUCUUUCCUAGUAAUUUACAAUAAGGGGCUUUUGUUAUGUUUUAUUUUCUGAAACUAAUUUUAAAGAUCAAAGCCACAUCAGUUAUUUAAAAUCCACAUCACAUCAGUUAUUUUUUGAAACCAAACCGUCUCUAUCACUAUCACUAUCAUACAUACGGUUUUGUCAAAAAAAGAAAAGAAAAGAACACGAAGAACUGUGUUGUGUCGAAGAAGGAACCGCAAACCGAAAUCCUCUCACCCUUCGAAACCCUCGUCGACAUUGUUCUUUACUUCUUCGAACUCUCUCUAACUCUCUGUCGUUGAACUCUCUAUAACUCUCUGUCGUUGAACUCUGUCUCGUCGGAGUUUUUAGAAACCGUCGUCUGUACGAAAUCGCCUUCACCGCAUUCUCAUCAACGAGUUCAUCUUUUCCGGUAAGAUGUCGCGACGUUAUAUAUUGUAUUUUGGUUGAGUUUGUGGGUCAGUUAUAUAUUGAGGCUGUGAUAUGGGUGUGUCGAGGAUUUUGUUGUGUCUGAGUUAGGGUUAUGUUGCGGCUGAGAUAUGUGAUUGUCUAGGCUUUUGUUGUGUCUGAAUUAGGGCUUUUUGUUGUGGCUGAGUUAUGGUUAUGUUAUAACUGAGUAAUUAUUAUGUUAUGGCUGAGUUAUGGUUAUUUUAUAACUGAGUAAUUAUUAUGUUAUGGCUGAGUUAUAUAUAUGACCUAAUAUAUUUUAAUAUUAUGAUAUGGCUGUGUUAUUUUUAUGUUGUGGCUGAUUUAUUGUUGUGUUAUAUGAUCAGAUGGAUGUUAGUCAAGUCGAACCACGUGAUUACCCUCCAAGACUUUACCCUUCUAACCUAGAAGGUAAAGAUAUCAAUCAUAAUUUCCGUGCAGGACAUUUCCCCCACAUUAAAGAAACAAUAGGACUCGAUGUGUGGGAAGAACUGGUGAACUCUCCCAUUGGAGUAGUUGCUAGGCUACUUUCACGCGAAAGCAUUUGGUCUGGUAGGACCGUACACUAUCUGCUAUGUAGACAGCUGCGAGUGCAUAAAAAGGAGAUAUGGUCUCUACUGGAGAUGUUUCCCUGGAUGUUGAAUGAGCUUAUUCUUGCCGAUCUCCGAAAGCAUUCUAGGAAGAGGUUCGCAUUCAGACGGAGGAGCAAAAGAUACAUUCCACAAAACAACAUCAUAGGUGAUUGUGGGGUUUAUUCGUUGAAGUUUGUGGAGUGUCUAGCGCUUGGUGUGUCUUUUUAUGGCAUAAACGAUAGUAAUAUUCAAGGGUUACGGGUGAAGAUGGCAGCAGAUAUCCUCGAGGAAGGAGGAAAUGUUGGAAUGAACAAGUUGUUGUCAAAAUGAAACUGUGUUUGUUUGUGAACCUGUGUUUGUUGUUAUGUUAACUAUUUGACUUUGGAUAACUGCUGUAAUAACUCAGUCAUAUCGAUUAGUAAUACUCAGCCAGUACUUAUUGAUAACUCAGUCAUACCUCAAACAUACCCUAGAACCAAAAUAAUUAAUAAUUUUUCAUUCGAAUGUUAUAUAUAAAGUCCAAUUAUCAAAAUAAUUAAUAAUAACUCAAUGUGUGAGCAUGAUCUUUGUUGACUAUACGAGUUUGGAAUCGAUUAUAAUCUUGAGGUAUAUGUUGUCUCUUACGAGUACCUAAAACUCUAGGCAGUGAUAUGAGGUGUGAGCAUGAUUCAAAACACGUAAACUGUUAUUGUGUUAUUUAUUAUGAAUUUGUGAUAUUUAUCAUAUCUUGUGGUUCGUACAUCAUAAAUCAUAACCCUAAACAAUCUUAUUCGGAACCCAAACCCUAAAUAACUAAACCCUAUACCCUAAACGGCAAACAACAAAUCAGCCGUAAAGGUCUUAAUAACUCAGCAUGUUAGUGUAAGUUAAUAUUUACAUAUGGCGCGAAAAUUUUAGAUAUUUUAUCUCGCGACCUUUAAUGUUCUAUACUUCCCCUAUAUAUAGCCCCCUUCUCUUGCACUUUCUCGCCUUAUCUCACUAGAAAACCUAAACAAUAUCUCUAUAUCGCCUUACAAAGUUAUGAUUGUUCCUGGUUAUUCAGAAAGGUUAGAGAACAGAGUCAAUGAGAUACUAAACUCUGAAAAUCGUGAAAACCUUCCCGUUCUAUACCCUGGCCCGGGUUUCUUGCUUGACAGCGUAAUCUGGUUUAAAUUUCUAAGCGAUCUCUCCCUGGCCAUCCCGUCGAUUUUAGCAGAAGGAUGGGUUCAUGAUUGGCCGACAUGGCGCGCCAUUCCCGAUCAUUUUAAGGAACGCUGGUUUCUUCAACUCGCUCGCAAACGCACGUGGGCACGAAGAUAUAAUUUUCAAGUUUGGACAAAUUUUAAUCUGGUGGCCAGAACGGUGUUUCGUUGUCAGAUGCGCCUCUUGAAGAGGAGGUGGGCACAUGGGGGUGAGAAGCCUGCGUGGAUGCUAACUAGAGUUUGGCGUGAUCUUGUCCACAUGUUUGAAGAAUUUGGUCCUGAUAAUUUUGGUUUUAGUAAUUGAUUUGUUGUUUUUGUUUGUAUUCAGCCGUCAAGUUUUUAUAAAGUUGUUUAACUCAGACGUUAAGUUUCUAUAAAGUUGUUUAACUCAGCCAUUAAGUUUCUAUUAAGUUGUUUAACUCAGCCGUUUAGUUUCUAUAAAGUUGUUUAACUCAGCCGUUAAGGUUUUAUAAAGUUGUUUAACUCAGCCGGAAUUGUUUGCGUCAAACGUCAGUGUUUCAGUUAAUUAACUCAGCCGUAAUACGAAUUAAGAUACUAAUAACUCAGCCUUAUAUUGUAAAAAUACAAAGCCAAAGUUAACGCUAUUUUCCAUGUAUUAUUAUGGUCGCCAUUACUUAAUCGAGACCAGUAUUAGAGUCCUUUAUUCUCUUAUUAUUAUACGUGCGAGAAAUUCCAUCGUCAUUGAGAAUAUCGAGACUCAUUAUUAUGGCCGUCAUUACAUUAUCGAGACUACUAUUAUUAGAGACCUUUAUUCUGUUAUUAUUAUGUGCAUGAGAAAUUUCGUUUGCAUUGAGAAUAUCGAGACUCAUUAUUAUACGGCUGGCACGCAUGUAUCGGAUUAUUUACAUAAUCGAGGUAUUGUUAUUUUUAAUGUAACUCAGUCAAUACAUCUACGUUAACUCAGCCAAAAUAUAGACGCUAACACAGCCGUAAUACGAAUUCAACUUAAGUGUUUGAUAAAAUAAUAAAGAACCUUUCGUAUUUCUUGAUUUGAUUGAGUAUUCGUCAUAAUUAAAGUGCAUCACGUGUGUGGAAAAUACGGCUCAAACCUAAUAUCGAGGCAUCUAAUAGUUUAUUAAUUUAAAUUAUUCCUCUUUAUUUGAAUUUUUUUAAAAAAAUGAUUUUAUAUUACUACCACUAUUGUUUUAACUUUGUCUUUCACACCAAUUUCUCUUUCAUUCAAAGAAAAUGUCUUCUUCAUCAUCUGUGUCUGGUAACACUUACUUUCACCGCCGGCAUGUGGAAAGAGGAACGCCGAAACAGUGUUGGUGUGGUGAACCCGCUGAAUUAUGUACAUCUGCAUCACGGGCUAAUCCAGGACGACUGUACUAUUGCUGUCGCAAAGGAUAUAUUAAGGUUUGAUUUUUAAUUUUAUUCAUUAUACUGUCAAUGUGAUACUAAGAGCUGGGCAUGUUGGUGAAAUCAGAGACAUUUAUUCAAAUGGGCGGACGAGUGCUUGGUGGAAGAGGUAGAAGAUAUGAAAUCGGUGAUGAGUGACAUGACCAAAGGCAUAUCAGAUCUGAGAGUAGACGUUGGUCGGUUGGAGAAAGAACUCGGUAAAGCGGAAAAGAUGAAGUGUUUGAUGUUUCCAGUGGUGGUUUGUGGGUUUGGUAUGGCCAUAUUUUGGCACUAUUUCUUUGCGUAGUCAUGUGUUGUAAUCAUAAUUUAGACGCAAUGUUUUUAGUAACUCAGCUAUUAGGUUCAAUGCAACUCAGCCAGUACGUUAAUUAAUUCAUAAUCAAACAAUAACCCAGCCAUAAUACGAGUAUUCGUCAGUCAUAACGUUUUAAUAACUCAGUUAUAACGUUAACUGCAAUUCAGCCGUUACGUUAAUUAAGUCACUAUAAAACAAUAACCCAGCCAUAAUAUGAGUAUUCGUCAGUCAUAAUGUUUUAAUAACUCAGUUAUAACGUUAACUGCAAUUCAGCCGUUACGUUAAUUAAGUCACUAUCAAACAAUAACCCAACCAUAAUAUGAGUAUUCGUCAGUCAUAAUGUUUUAAUAACUCAGUUAUAACGUUCACUGCAACUCAGCCGUUACGUUAAUUAAGUCAUAAUCAAACAAUAACCCAGCCAUUAUAUGAGUAUUAGUCAGCCAUAAAAAGAGACAUACAUAAAUUUCUGGUUCGACAUACAUAAGUUUAGGUUCAAAAUCACUCUUCCCUUUCCGGACAUACACACAUUAGUGGAGUAGUUUUCCCAUCUCCAACCACAUUGAACACAAAUAAGUCUCCUAUGGCGCAUCUGUUAGCACGACAGAACUUUCUCCAGCCUCUUCUGAUGUAAUACAUGCCGUCUGCUUCGCUAAAUCGCAAACUCACAGUCCAUGAAUUUCCCUCUUUGUUGACAAGUAUUAUCUCUUGGCAUUGUUUGUUCAAAGCAGUACAAGUCGUAGCUCCCUCAGGAAGAUACUGCAAACACAGAACGUAAAGACACAGAACAGAUCAAACCAUAUGUUAAUAACUAACUAAAUACUGCAAACACAGAACGUAAAGACACUGAA